RNAcentral lists this ribosomal RNA (506 nucleotides) under uncultured bacterium. RNAcentral's name for it is "partial 16S ribosomal RNA". It matches the Rfam family "Bacterial small subunit ribosomal RNA", at positions 29 to 523 of the family's 1533-position model. The record is from RNAcentral.
AGUGAACGCUGGCGGUAGGCCUAACACACGCAAGUCGAACGGCAGCACAGAGGAGCUUGCUCCUUGGGUGGCGAGUGGCGGACGGGUGAGGAAUACAUCGGAAUCUACUCUGUCGUGGGGGAUAACGUAGGGAAACUUACGAUAAUACCGCAUACGACCUACGGGUGAAAGCAGGGGAUCUUCGGACCUUGCGCGAUUGAAUGAGCCGAUGUCGGAUUAGCUAGUUGGCGGGGUAAAGGCCCACCAAGGCGACGAUCCGUAGCUGGUCUGAGAGGAUAAUCAGCCACACUGGAACUGAGACACGGUCCAGACUCCUACGGGAGGCAUCAGUGGGGAAUAUUGGACAAUGGGCGCAAGCCUGAUCCAGCCAUACCGCGUGGGUGAAGAAGGCCUUCGGGUUGUAAAGCCCUUUUGUUGAGAAAGAAAUCCAUCUGGUUAAUACCCGGGUGGGAUGACGGUACCCAAAGAAUAAGCACCGGCUAACUUCGUGCCAGCAGCCGCAGUAA